UACGUAGGUCCCGAGCGUUGUCCGGAUUUAUUGGGCGUAAAGCGAGCGCAGGCGGUUUGAUAAGUCUGAAGUAAAAGGCUGUGGCUUAACCAUAGUACGCUUUGGAAACUGUCAAACUUGAGUGCAGAAGGGGAGAGUGGAAUUCCAUGUGUAGCGGUGAAAUGCGUAGAUAUAUGGAGGAACACCGGUGGCGAAAGCGGCUCUCUGGACUGUAACUGACACUGAGGCUCGAAAGCGUGGGUAGCAAACAGG
RNAcentral lists this ribosomal RNA (252 nucleotides) under uncultured bacterium. RNAcentral's name for it is "partial 16S ribosomal RNA". It matches the Rfam family "Bacterial small subunit ribosomal RNA", at positions 524 to 776 of the family's 1533-position model. The record is from RNAcentral.